CCCAUGUGUCCUUUUAAAAAGAAGAAGAAAAUAAAAACGUGCUUUGAAUAAUCUCUAUAUUUCCAUCCAUUUCAUGCACUAAAGGAUACAACUGGCCUGUAAUCAAAAUAACUUAGAACGAAUCAGAAUGAUCAUAAUCUCCGGUAUAUUUAAUUCAUAAUUGAAACUAAAUUCCACGAGACUGGGAUAUUGCUAUUCUCUUUUAAAAUUGAACUUCCACCAAUCAAACGGAUAAAACGAAAAUCAUCCAUUAUCAUUUUCAUUUCGUAGCCUAACUUCACCUAAUCAAAUAUGAUUUUAAAAUAAUUUUUUUUAAAGAUGUUGCUGAUAUUAUCAAGUUAUCACGAGUCAGAAGGUCGUCAUCGUCAGUUGUAAUGCAUGACAAAGAUCCCACACCCACCAUAAAGGCGUCUCAUGUGAUCCCGGCCACCUGGCUAGAAUUCAGGUCCUAGUUUGCAGUGGCUCGUGGGGAAUGGGUCAGGGUUGUAUCUUUUGCCC
This 498-nucleotide long non-coding RNA is filed under the name Elaeis guineensis (African oil palm). Its description in RNAcentral is "long non-coding RNA (EGUI_LNC016159)". Lineage: Eukaryota; Viridiplantae; Streptophyta; Magnoliopsida; Arecales; Arecaceae. The record is from RNAcentral.